This 1033-nucleotide ribosomal RNA is filed under the name human gut metagenome. Its description in RNAcentral is "bacterial SSU rRNA". It matches the Rfam family "Bacterial small subunit ribosomal RNA", at positions 28 to 1070 of the family's 1533-position model. The record is from RNAcentral.
GACGAACGCUGGCGGCGUGCCUAACACAUGCAAGUCGAGCGGAGACAGUGAGUAGCUUGCUAUGAGCUGUUUUAGCGGCGGACGGGUGAGUAACGCGUGAGCAACCUUUCCCAGACAGGGGAAUAACACACCGAAAGGUGUACUAAUACCGCAUAAGACCACGGUUUCACAUGGAACUGAGGUAAAAGAUUUAUCGGUUUGGGGUGGGCUCGCGUCCGAUUAGGUAGUUGGUGAGGUAACGGCCCACCAAGCCGACGAUCGGUAGCCGACCUGAGAGGGUGAUCGGCCACAUUGGGACUGAGAAACGGCCCAAACUCCUACGGGAGGCAGCAGUGGGGAAUAUUGGGCAAUGGAGGAAACUCUGACCCAGCAACGCCGCGUGGAGGAAGAAGGUUUUCGGAUCGUAAACUCCUGUCCUUGGAGACGAGUAGAAGACGGUAUCCAAGGAGGAAGCCCCGGCUAACUACGUGCCAGCAGCCGCGGUAAUACGUAGGGGGCAAGCGUUGUCCGGAAUAAUUGGGCGUAAAGGGCGCGUAGGCGGCUCGGUAAGUCUGGAGUGAAAGUCCUGCUUUUAAGGUGGGAAUUGCUUUGGAUACUGUCGGGCUUGAGUGCAGGAGAGGUUAGUGGAAUUCCCAGUGUAGCGGUGAAAUGCGUAGAGAUUGGGAGGAACACCAGUGGCGAAGGCGACUAACUGGACUGUAACUGACGCUGAGGCGCGAAAGUGUGGGGAGCAAACAGGAUUAGAUACCCUGGUAGUCCACACUGUAAACGAUGAAUGCUAGGUGUAGGGGGUAUCGACCCCUUCUGUGCCGCAGUCAACACAAUAAGCAUUCCGCCUGGGGAGUACGGCCGCAAGGUUGAAACUCAAAGGAAUUGACGGGGGCCCGCACAAGCAGCGGAGCAUGUGGUUUAAUUCGACGCAACGCGAAGAACCUUACCAGGUCUUGACAUCCACUUAAACUUACAGAGAUGUAAGGUGUGCUUGCACAAAGUGAGACAGGUGGUGCAUGGUUGUCGUCAGCUCGUGUCGUGA